GGGAUAAAGUAUACUUCCUUUUUUAUGAAAUUAUAUUACGGAAUGGUGUUAUAACUUAGUAAAGAGGAAGGAUCUUGUGAAAGUGAUUAUGUUACACGGGAAGAAAACCCGCUUGGUCAGUAGAGAUCGAUUGUUUUGAGGUCAUUGGUCAAGCUACUCAGUGAGGAGAGCGAUCAGUCAGAGAGUCCUGUAGGAUCCAGAUAAUUUAGAUCUCAAUCCUGUCGAGGAGUUCGAAUGUUCAUUUGUUGAUGGAACUAGCUGGAUUGUGAUGAUUUCUGGGUUUUCUACGAAGAUUGCAGUGUUGGGUACCGGAAUCUGACCCUAGAAAGUGAUUGUUUUGGUCCUUGGUAUGGUUUUUAACCUGUAUCUGCCCUAGUCGGGUGAGUCAAGAUGGCCGUACUUAAAAGAUUGAUACGUGCAGCAUUUUUUACCAAAAUUAACGGUGUUUUGUGAUCGAUUACGAAAGUUUGAAUUUGUUGACAUAUAUAAAAGAUUGAUAUAUUUGGAAGAAUGUUUCCAAAGUUUGCUAUAUAAAUUGUGAAUUCAUAUAUUUUACAAUGAAAGAAACUAUUGCAAAAGA
Lytechinus pictus (painted urchin) is the source of this 580-nucleotide long non-coding RNA. RefSeq lists it as uncharacterized. Lineage: Eukaryota; Metazoa; Echinodermata; Echinoidea; Temnopleuroida; Toxopneustidae. The record is from RefSeq and is a predicted model, not a curated record. The transcript has 3 exons.